UUCGUAAAUGACUCGAGUCAACUCAGCUACAACUUGUACAGAAUAAAUUCAUCAGAAUUAUUGUGAUUGUAUUGCUUGGGAAGAAAAAUGAGCCCUGUGAACAAUGAGAACUUCGAAACUUCAUCAGAAAAUAUAUGGGAUUUGCAUAGAAUAUAUUCCCGACGAGCAUGCUUCUAUUACAUUUCUGUUUUUAGAAACAACGCUAGUGCGAACAGUUUUUAAAAUGGAGUUUCAAAAUAUUUUGUACUUAUACUAAUUUAUAUGCAUCAAGGGCUAUAUAAUUUCAAAUUUACUUACAAAGGCAAAGCGUGAUUAACUAAAAGCCCCAUUUACACUACGCUCAAUUUU
This is a non-coding RNA of Paramuricea clavata, 348 nucleotides long. The record is from the annotation of a GenBank genome assembly. NCBI's taxonomy places the organism in Eukaryota, Metazoa, Cnidaria, Anthozoa, Malacalcyonacea, Plexauridae.